UUAACUGAUCCAGAGGAUUGCUACAUUUC
This 29-nucleotide non-coding RNA is filed under the name Mus musculus (house mouse). Lineage: Eukaryota; Metazoa; Chordata; Mammalia; Rodentia; Muridae. The record is from RNAcentral.